Molecule: transfer RNA, 69 nt
Filed under: Peloridium hammoniorum
Lineage: Eukaryota; Metazoa; Arthropoda; Insecta; Hemiptera; Peloridiidae
Description: tRNA-Tyr
Source: RNAcentral
GAUAAAAUGCCUGAAUAAAGGAUUAAAUUGUAAAUUUAAGAAUGAAUAUAUUAAAAUAUUCUUUUAUCA